Molecule: long non-coding RNA, 1566 nt
Filed under: Homo sapiens (human)
Lineage: Eukaryota; Metazoa; Chordata; Mammalia; Primates; Hominidae
Description: non-protein coding NR2F1-AS1:58
Source: RNAcentral
GUCUCAGCUCGAGCAUUCCUAGCGCCAACACGCCCUCAGGUAAAGGUGGAAGUAAAUGGCCACGCUGUAUUGACAGAGGUAGGGUUUGUUUUUUAAUACUCGUUCUCACUUUAAGUCUCACCAGGGAGGGGUUUGGGAAGCACUGCGUGUUUGGGGGACGUUUUGCGCUUCCUGGUCUCUCCAGCCUACAAGUCGGGAGUCGGCGACCGCUUAGUGACGAGCGAUGAUUUUAAAGAGCAGAAUAAAAGGUUUUCCCGUGCCUGCCCCACAGCCCCUCCAGCUCGAAUAAUGGAGAACUGUCAAUGCACUCCGCGAGCGGUGGCCCAUUGUACGCAGCUGAUGGCGAGGAGGCGACUGGGGGUAGCAGGGGCUCCUUGCCCUCGUCCCUAUGCCCAAAUAAACGCGCAAACGCGCUCCCGUCUUCUGGUCAGUUAAAAGGUGAAACGAACACGAUUAAAAUAGACCAAAAGAAAAGAAAGAAAAGAAAACCUUUCUAUGUACAGAUUCUAAAUCGUACUCCCCAUACAGUCAGAGGCAGGGAGUCGAGGGCAGAGGCAGCAGGCGGAGAGAGGGAGAUAGGGCGAGGGAAGGAGAACGCGGAGAGAGACGAAGGGAGUGGGAGACCAGCGACAGCGAGCGCCAGGGCACCGCAGGCACACUGGAUGCCCAGUCCGCCGGCCCAGCCGCCCUCGGACCCUGGACCGUGCGUCGUGGGCACCAGAAACGAGACUCGGCCAAAUCCUGCCUCACCAGCAGGUAGAUGAAACUCAAGAGAAAAGGUGUGGAUAAAUGAAACUAGCCCAUGAUGAACCUGUUUUCUCCGUGACCACAAUAUUAACCAGGAUGAAUGGCGGCGUUGUAGAAAUUGGAAACCAAAAUGAAGAGGAACUUUAGGAGUUUGCAAUCUAGUGGAAGACAUCCAAUUUUGGUGGCAGUGGGCCUGCAUCACAGGUUGCAGCAGAUGUUCUCAAUAUUUCUAUUAAAAUUUCCUUAUUUCCAUAUGCAAGAGGAGCCCCAGAGCUGCAUCCUUAUGGUAGCUACCAUGCCGUGAUGUAAGCUGCCAUUCACUGGGGAGCUUUGGCAAUAGAAUUGGCUAGAUCAGGAAGCCUAUGUCAACUAUGGAACAACAACUUGCAGCUCAUCUCUAUUGAUGAUACACUGCCUCUAGGACUGGGACAGAUAGCCACUGAGUACCUGCUUCAAAUCACCCUGCACGUUUUCUCUUUGGAAAGAUAAGCACUGGAGAACCAUCUCGUUACCUUCAGCAGAAAUGGAAACAAAUCAAGACAUUAAGAAUGCCGCAGUGGACAGCAGUUAUGCAAGGUUCAGCAGAGGAAGUUUUCAAGAUGGUGUGCCUCACUAGCCAGAAAUCAGAAAAGAUCGAAGCUAGCCUUUUCAUCUCAGCUGCUCCUUAAAUCAGUGCAACCCCUCCAAAUUAAUGUGAAUUGAAACUUGCAUUGCUUUUCAACUUAAUUGAAUACUUACUAUAUGUGAACCACUGCACAAAAUAGGGGAAGAAGAUGUGGGAGACAAAGAUGUGGAGCCUGUCUUCAAUAAAUUUACAGU